Non-coding RNA from Oryza nivara, 204 nucleotides. NCBI's taxonomy places the organism in Eukaryota, Viridiplantae, Streptophyta, Magnoliopsida, Poales, Poaceae. The record is from Rfam.
AAUAGAUGACACCGUUGACUUUUUCUCAUAUGUUUGACCAUUUGUCUUAUUCAAAAACAUUACGUAAUUAUAAUUUAUUUUGUUAUGAGUUGUUUUAUCACUCAUAGUAUUUUAAGUGUGAUUUAUAUCUUACACAUUUGCAUAAAAUUUUUAAAUAAGACGAAUGGUCAAACAUAUGAAAAAAAGUCAACGACGUCAUCUAUU